GGGCCCUUUAGCUCAGUUGGUUAGAGCGCACCUCGAUAAGGGUGAGGUGGUCGGUGGUUCGAGUCCACUAGGGCCCACCA
Molecule: transfer RNA, 80 nt
Filed under: Paenibacillus larvae
Lineage: Bacteria; Bacillati; Bacillota; Bacilli; Caryophanales; Paenibacillaceae
Description: tRNA-OTHER
Rfam family: tRNA
About the family: Transfer RNA (tRNA) molecules are approximately 80 nucleotides in length.
Source: RNAcentral